GCAAGUAUUUAUAAAGCUACAAUCAGUUGACAAGCCCCAACUGAUGGGCAAACAAGUUAAGACAAAGUACAAAAACGUGGGCACAUUUUUAGGUUAUGAUCAGCAUGUCUUGGAAGAGGUUGCAACUGCCAACUGCUUCUCAUGUGCUUUGCACAUGUUUUCCAAAUGUUGCUUGUGCACAGCAUUUGCCUGAUUUUCGCCCAGCUGCUUUGUGCCAAGGCUGGCAUUGCGCCCAACCUUUCCUUUGACACUACUCUGCGCCAAUGUCAUUGCCACAGCUCAUCGCCCGCUGACUUAUCCGCACACGUUCAUUGUCACAGCUGCCCGCUCAUAUCAGUCGCCCCCAACUUGAUUAAAUUUGCCUGCAUCAUUUGCCAUUGUUUGUCCCGCCUUGCCUUGCCAUGUCUUUGCCCCUGCUUGACAUGGCUUUUCCUUGCCAUUGAUUUGCCAAUCCACACAUCCAAGUAAAAUGCGCCUUGCUUCCAUUCAAGGUGAGUUUGUCGAACCCCGCAUUGUCUGUCAUGUCGAGCAGCACAUCAUGAUGUUGCCCAAUUUUCAGGUUGUGUGCCAAGGCCAUCAUGAAAAUCCUUGUCACAACCCACACCUGCCGAGGACCUUUGUCAAGGGGCUAACAAACCACCCCCACCAGAAGAAUUCGUCGUCCUCGACGAAGCAGCUUCCGCAUUUUUUAGCACCACCAUAGGCCCUAAAUAUGUUGUUGCUUGCUCAUGUUCUUCCUCGUUUGGCUUAUCUUCAUUCUUUUCUUCAGCAAACAACGCUGAAAGCCGUUAAAUUCUUGGACAUCCCCUCGCUAUGUGUGGUCCUUUGCAAAUAAAACAGCCAUCAAACUUGUUGUUGUGUCCCUUGUUUGUCGAAGGUCCAGCACAUUGUUUUCCCUUCUCAUUGCCAUUGCCCUCAACAGCAUUGCCCUUGUCGUUUCCGUUUUUCUCCACUCUUUUGUCUUGUCCUUGUUCUCGUUUCUGGACUUUGAAGUAGUAGAGAAAUCAAAACCAUCUUGUCUCAACCGAAAAUCACCCAACGCAUCCGCAGCGGAAAUGGCACUAGGAAUGUCUUUCACAUUCUGCCUUCGUAGUUCCAUUUGUGCCCACGACUGCAACCCGUAAAGUAAAUUAUGCAGCUUGUCUUCCUCAGACAUGUUGCUAAUAUCCAGCAUCAAAGAACUGAAAUCUUUGACAUAAUCCCUGACCAUUCCAGUUUGUUUCAACUUCUUCAAACGAUUUCUAGCAAUCCAGCCCGCAUUGCUAGGAAAGAAUUGAUUUUUCAAUUCUUUCUUCAGCCCUUCCCAAGAGUCAAUCUUCGACCUACCGGCACUUAUAUCAUCUGCCACGCGCGUACGCCACCAAAGCUUUGCAUCGUCCACUAAGUACAUAGUCGUAAUGGCGACCUUGUCUUCAUCUUGCACUUUGACAGCAUGGAAGUACUAUUCUAUAUCCCACAGGAAAUUUUCGAGUUUCUUGGCACUCCUUGCGCCAUUAAACUCUUUAGGCUCCGGAAUUCUAACCUUGGUACGAUCUGCCCCACGUUGUGCUUCAUCAUUUCCAACAGCACGACGUAGCAACCCAUUUUCCGUUUUCAGAUUUGUGCACUCCUGGCUCAGCCUAUUCAUCUCGGCCUCAAGAUAGGCGAGACGAGUCACGAUAGUCAGAAAUUGAUCCCCAUCAAUAGUUCCGACGAGUGCCUCUAAUGCAGCAACCUUUUCCCUCAAUUCUGCGUUGCCACCAGCCAUUCUUCACAAAAUUCAACCACUGAACGUUGUGUCUUCGCCCCGAUCCAGCCACGCUCUGAUACCAGUUGUCAUAAGGGUGAUUUAUGUCACUCAAAUUUUGCCCGAGGUUCACCUCCGUGCGGCAAUCAAGCCCAGCCUUGACUUCAGCCUUUCCAACACUUAGUUUUAUUUUUAGGGACGUUUGCACUAAGAAUGAAAAUAGGCAGCAAAAACAGUAAAUAAAGGCACACACGAUAUACAGGAAUUUCUUCCCAACUCGUAUUAAUAUGUGAAUACAAGAACACAAUAGCCAACCCUAUGGCCAAGACAAAUAAUUCCCUAAUUCCCUGCCCAAAAUGAUUUUCCCACCCUUAGGAAAUGACUCAGACGAAUUUUUGGCUACACAAUGCCUUAGACUAAGUUUCUGCCCUGUUUUGGACAACCUAUGCAAGUAUUUAUAAGGCUAAAAUCAGUUGACAAGCCCCAACUGAUGGGCAAACAAGUUAAGACAAAAUACAAAAACGUGGGCACAUUUUUAGGCCAUGAUCAGCAUGUCUUGGAAGAGGUUGCAACUGCCAACUGCUUCCCAUGUGCUUUGCACAUGUUUUCCAACUGCUGCUUGUGCACAGCAUGUGCCUGAUUUUCGCCCAGCUGCUUUGUGCCAAGGUUGGCAUUGCGCCCAACCUUGCCUUUGACACUGCUCCGCGCCAAUGUCAUUGCCACAUCUCGCCGCCCGCUGACUUAGCCGCACACGUUCAUUGUCACAGUUGCCCGCUCAUAUCAAGUCGCCCCCAACUUGAUUAAAUCUGCCCGCAUCAUUUGCCAUUGCUUGUCCCGCCUUGCCUUGCCUUGCCAUGUCUUUGCCCCUGCUUGACAUGGCUUUGCCUUGCCAUUGUUUUGCCAACCCGCACAUCCAAGUAAAAUGCGCCUUGCUUCCGUUCAAGGUGCAUUUGUCGAACCCCGCAUUGUCUGUCAUGCCGAGCAGCCCAUCAUGAUGUUGCCCAAUUUUCAGGUUGUGUGCCAAGACCAUCAUGAAAAUCCUUGUCACAACCCACACCUGCCGAGGACCUUUGUCAAGGGGCUAACACUAGGUAAGUUAUAUAUUAUUGUAGAAAUUAGUCUUGUAGACAUAAUUCCUGUAAAGUCAAUUACAAAAAUUUAUACUAAGUACUACACUUGGAAGGGUCAUGCCAAGAUACAUUGACAUUUGUUUUCAAACUAAAAAGCAAAAGAAAUGAAAUGAAGAAUGUAUUUGAAC
This 2984-nucleotide long non-coding RNA is filed under the name Nicotiana tabacum (common tobacco). RNAcentral describes it as "long non-coding RNA (NTAB_LNC005779)". Lineage: Eukaryota; Viridiplantae; Streptophyta; Magnoliopsida; Solanales; Solanaceae. The record is from RNAcentral.